Molecule: ribosomal RNA, 634 nt
Filed under: Hymenobacter sp.
Lineage: Bacteria; Pseudomonadati; Bacteroidota; Cytophagia; Cytophagales; Hymenobacteraceae
Description: partial 16S ribosomal RNA
Rfam family: Bacterial small subunit ribosomal RNA
Source: RNAcentral
AGACACGGCCCGGACACCUACGGGUGGCAGCAGUGGGGAAUCUUGGGCAAUGGGCGAAAGCCUGACCCAGCCACAUCGCAUGAGUGAAGAAGGCUGAUUGGUCGUAAAACUCUGACUUGAGGCAAGAUUAUGACAGAACCUUAAGAAAUAGUCCCGGCCAACUCUGUGCCAGCAGCCGCGGUAAGACAGGGGGGGCAAGCGUUAUUCGGAAUGAUUUGGCGUAAAGGGCGCGUAGGCGGACAACUCCUCGGCGAUUCUCGGCGAUUCUCGGCGAUUCUCGGCGAUUCUCGGCUUUGCCGAGAAACACCGAGAAACACCGAGAAACGCUGAGAAACGCCGAGAAGCACCUCUCUACGAGUAGAGAAUACUUUUACUCGUAGAGAGAACACCUCCUUUAACAGUUAGCGAAAAAUUCCAAAGCCUAACUUUGGUGGAGCGCUGGAGAGUCUCUUUUUCGCAAAGAAAAGAACCUCAUUUUAAGGGUGGCGGUCUAGAGUAAGCUGGGGGAGAGCGCAAUUCCUGGAGGAGAGGUAAAAUUCUUAGAUAUCAGGAGGAGGGCCAAAGGCAAAGGCAGCUCUCUGAGGCUUUACUGACGCUGAGGUGCGAAAGCGUGGGGAGCGAAGGGGAUUAGAUA